Non-coding RNA from Varroa destructor (honeybee mite), 9377 nucleotides. Lineage: Eukaryota; Metazoa; Arthropoda; Arachnida; Mesostigmata; Varroidae. The record is from RefSeq and is a predicted model, not a curated record.
GGCGGUGCUCGAUCGGUUGCCUUUGUUUGUUCCGUGGUCAGUAGGAAUCCCGUGCAUCAUUGCGCGAUGUAUCCUCCUACUUUCCAUAGGCGUAUUUUAAAAGCUACAUUGAUAAACCGCCGCCGCCACUACCGCCGCUGCUGCUGCUGCGAGUGGCUGUAAGCAGAGGAUUCACUCGCUCUAGUCGGUUUGUCUGUUGCUCGGGUUCGUCGUCUAUACUCGGGCUCGUUGGCGCCGUUCAUUGGCUGCUCUUCUUUGAUUGGCCAUAGGGGCGGUGGAUGUGUAUCUACAACUCUAUCAUCAGCGGCAUCAUUUCAAUGUAUUCUGCUCGCCACCAGCAGCAACACCAGCAAAUAACGGCAAAGUAGCGCGGGACAAUAAUAAUCGAAGACGGAAGAGUUUCACUCUUCUGCAACUAACCAGUUGCUACUGGGGUUAUACUACCCCGCCAAGCAACUACCCACAGUGGAAAGGAGCUCUGGGUGUAUGUUCUCGCCUCCUCGUUUGAUGAUGACGACUCUGGCCAACUAACCGAGAAGCGCUGCGAGUUGCCCUGGUUGUCGUAAAAGCUGGGUUCGAGAAAAGGAACGAGAGUAUAUGCUGUCUCGUUGGCGAUGAUGGUACUGCCGCAAGCGGAGGCGUUAGCAGUGGUUGAACCGGAGAUGACGUCAACCGUAAAACCGAUAGCAACGGCGGUCGCCGACGCAGUCGCAAAUCGGCGAGUGUUUGCCUCGAUGAUCGCUACCGUUGCGGCCGCCAACGUCGUCUUCUAAUUUUUAUUGUGAGUGGUGUUCCUGCUGCCGUAACUGCUGGUAGUGCUGUUCAUACGGCUAACUUCUGCCGUCUCCAUUAUUAGCCUCGGUCGUCCGUCCGAUGCCUAUCGUGCCAGGACUGUAAGUGGUCUACUGCGAUAUUCUAGGGGAUCGACGAGUAACGAGUUCCUCAGUGGUUCCACGCACGACAGCGGGCGAAAGCGAACAACAACAAACAGGCCGGGAAUUGUGCAUUGAGGAAAAUAGGCAGCCCUAUAACAAAGCGGUCAAUUGCUAUUCUAUAUUGUAACUCAAUUGUAGUGUCAGCGGGAGCCGCUUAUUUCGGUUCGGUUGGCCGUACAAUUGUUUCGAUCGCUGUUAAUGGCGCCGUUGUCGCUUGUGGAUUGAUUCCUCUCGAGUCGAGUGCGAACUGUGAGCGAGCUAUAGGGAAAGUAUAGCAAACGAAAGCAACAGAGAACGAGAUUGCCGUCGAUUCGUGUGUGCUGCUCAAUGAACGCCUGUGUCGAUGUAUGUUUGUGCCCGUGUGCAGUCGUGUACCAGUGGAAUAAGUGAAAAGCAGGUGACUAGAAGAGAAAAUACAUCUCGAGUGAACUGGCAGGGGUUCAUUUGUGGUAUCGAGCAGAAUUGAACAGUUAGAACUACGCCGACCACUGGUUACUGGGAGAGGUAGGAGCAAAGUGUACGAACCGCUUGAUAUUAGCAACAGUAGACAAGCGACUGGUGCGACUUCCGUAGUAGCAAUCGCGGCCAGCCUUCGUUCAAACCGGCUAUCCAAGUUAACCGUCUAGCUGGCUAGGACAACUGGUUUAGCCUCGACUAAUUGGCGACCUGUUGUUGUUACCGCCGCCGCCGCCGCCGCCGCCGCCGCCGCCAUCACAACAACAAUUUUUGUCGUCGUUGUUGCAGCUGUUCCAUCUAGCGAUUGAUAACAGUACCGUGAAAUACUGCUUCUGCUGCUGGUGUUGCAACAGAAGCAACGAUAAAAGAACAACAUAGAAGUGACGCAGGCGAGUGCGUCGAUAUCUACAUCGAACCAGCGCUAUCAGUACUGUGGGGAGGGAAAGAAACAGCGGAUAGCUGAGCAGCUGUUAUAUCGCAGUGGUUAAAAGGUCGGUGAAAUAGAACCCAAAGAUAAACAAAGUGGAAUUGAAGUCGAUUGAGAACGACACGGCUACUGUGGCUAUACGAAUCGCAGACGUCGAGUCCGAACUUGAACCAGCCUUCGAUCCAGCGAGUUCCGCCGUUUCAUCGUGGAUGUGUUUGCGAUCGAGUGCUUGUCUUAAUAAUAAGUCUGCGUUAACGAGAACAGAAAUAAGGGGGUACGCCAACAACCAACAAGCUUUAUUAAUCAAAGCUUAUACAAAAAGCACGAGUAUAGUGGAUGCAUCAUUUUCGCAAAAAUUAUUCGAUACGAAACUGGCAAUUUGUGAAUGGCUAGCAAACAUCAAACGACCGAAGCUUUUGCGAAAUUCUUGGCACUAUCCCUCAAUUAUUGCGGUUAGUAGUAAUUUCCAACGGCGGCAACAACAAACACAGGACGAUUGUUCUAUCCAGUUAUCACUGUCAGCGUAACCUCUGAGGCAGACAGCUCCGUUCCAAUGUGUUUAACCCACUACGGCAGUAGGAACUGCUAACUGCCGAGUUGCGGGCAUCGCUUAGUGGUUGCGUUCGUUGGUGGCAUCAUUCAUCUUUCAUGUUGACGUCGCCGAAUGUCUUGGCGACGACCUCCGCCAGACCCCAGCCUGAGGCGAUUAUAGGGGGACCUGGCUUACUCGCAUUGUAAGACUGUUUUGUGUUCUCUUACAGUUGGCGCGGACCUAGUUGGUAGACUGACCUAGGAAACUCACUUUCUGCAAUUAAAACGAAGGAACUAGCAACAGCGACGAACGAGCGUAGCACACAAGUUAGCCCUGAUACCAAAACUGUUGCUUAAAUCUACAGAAAGGUUAUCUCGCUGAAGCUAACUUGUUCGAGCCUACUCAAGGAUCACCGCUCCGUUCGAUCAUCAUAGCGUUUCUCGUCGACAUUGUCGCUACUAAGCUUCGCUGAGGCUAAUAGUGUGUCGUGUCCGGGCGAUCGUCGUCGAGCGUUUGGACGAAUUCAUCGCAAGUAAGUUCUUGAGUUCGCGCCUGACGAGAGCUGGAGUGCGUUGACAAGCCGAGUGGGUGCAUCUGUGAGCUUCGUACCUGUACCGCUAGUCUUUCUCACCCAGAGAAAAAGAAGAGUAUCAGCUGUUCGAAAUCUUACAAUUAAUAACAAUUCUAUAGUAGUCGACUCCAGAACGGCUACAGACAUAGCAAUAACGACAACAACAACAACAACAAAAAUCGCAACAUGAAUCGAGAGUACGAUCAUCUAUUUAAGCUGCUUAUCAUCGGGGAUAGCGGUGUGGGUAAAAGCAGUCUUCUGUUACGAUUUGCUGACAACACAUUUUCUGGCAAUUACAUCACGACUAUCGGAGUCGAUUUCAAGAUCCGAACUCUGGAAAUAGACGGGGAGCGGGUUAAAUUGCAAAUAUGGGAUACUGCAGGCCAGGAGCGCUUUCGUACGAUCACGUCGACGUACUACAGAGGAACCCAUGGAGUCGUUGUCGUCUAUGAUGUAACAAAUGGAGAAAGCUUUGCCAACGUAAAACGAUGGCUCCAUGAAAUUGACCAAAAUUGCGACGUCGUCAAUCGAAUACUUGUUGGAAAUAAGAACGACGACCCUCAGCGAAAGGUUGUUGUCACUGAAGAUGCCCAAGCUUUUGCGGAUCGGAUGAAUAUUAAGUUGUUCGAGACGUCAGCCAAGGACAACCUUAACGUCGAGGAAAUGUUUAAUGCCAUCACGAGAAUGGUGCUUGCCAGCAAAAAGGAACAACUUCUACAGAACCAGCCAAGUCAAAAGGGCAACAAGAUCCAAAUCAAUCGGACAUAUCUCAACCGGCCGAAGAAGAAGUGUUGUUAGCGGUGUUUAGUCAAAAGUCACACAAUAACAAAGAAAUAAUGCAUUAUUAUAAUUAAUAUUAUAGAUAGAUCCAAGUAAACUUAAACUAGUGUCAAACAAACAUGAAAAGAUAUAAAUGUUACUAAGGACACACACAAUUCAGCAAUAAUAGCAAGCACAACAUCAAAAACAAGCAAGCGUGAUGACGGCCGCAGAAGCCGAAGAGCAAUGAGAAGCCUUAAACUGAGCGAAAGUAAUGCUCAACAGUUCUCCUGGCGGCAAACGGGGGUAAGCGACCGAACCAACCAAUAAUACAGAACGAUAACAUGUCAGUACACAGUCAGACAAUACAUAGAUCGAACAGAACUGCUCAGUUGUUACACCACUAAGCACGAAUACUCCUCAUUAGGAUGUGCGUGCGCGUGUCCAUAUGUCAACGUACGUAUACGAAAUACAAUGUGAGCUAAAAUCAAGUGCAAACAUCUUCACGACCAGGAAAUGACGGUUCUCCAAUCAAUAAUGUCGUCAGAGCGCUGAUCAGGGCUUCACUGAAUGAAAUGGAUCGGUUGAAGUUAUUGUUGUUUGGUAGAAAGUUGAAAGUGGUGUUUCGAUCGAGCUCAGCAAAGGAUACUUUGAGGAUCUCCUGCGAUGUAUGCAACAGGAGAACAGACAAAGACACUACGAGUUGAUGUUCGGCAAAUGCAAAGGAAACUGCACAACGUUUCUGCGAGUGCCCGCUCAACAAACGACCCGAACAUGUGCGUCUCCUAUUAAGCGGAUAUGCAUCAGCUUACCACCAUAUGUAAUUAGGCCGUCAUAACCACAUGUAAUGGACUUACUACAAACCUCCUUAACAAGUCUUAACUUUACUGGGCCACUGCCUCAUUUCACCAUACUAAUCCUACGUACAGGCUAAUAUUGUGAAUAUGUAUGAUGUUAAAGGUAACACAUUGAAACGUGAGUCCAUGGAUUCCUUGCUCGGCGCAAGGACGCGCGUAAAUAUUUUUUCCAAGCAGUUAGGGAGCAACUAUCAACAUGAGGAAAACUUGCAGUUGAGCAAAGAAGAAACGACAUUUUCAGAUCCGCAUCGAAUAGCUAACCCAGUGCUGGUUGUGAUGUCCUUCUUAGAUCGAGUUCUUCGAAAUAAAGCCUCAUCGUUGUAGCAUGCGUGAACGCGCGAUAUUCGGAAGAAUUCGAAUACUGAAUAUGCUCUAUCCAAAGAUAACGAUCAUCAAAACGGAUGUUUGGUCUGGUGGAAGAAGAGACUGGUUAACACGAUGAAAAGACACUAGGGGCACACUGUCAGAUUUACAGUUUUUGUGUGCCGGCUAUACUUCGAGACGCGACGCCUAUUAGGCUUAAGCACACAUAUAAACAUGGGUAAGCGAAAAUUUUAAAUGACACCUGUGUGGUAGUUAUGGAUAUCGGGUUGUCUAAUAGGAUGGUAGCUAGCGUUGUUCAAAAUUGGCGCGCAGCCGUCCUCGUUCACUCAGCGGUAGUAAACAAAAAUGCUGCUAUGUAUAAGCGUGUGGGGAAAGGUACGGACUCACAGCCAAUUUCGCACCGAAACGUCUCCUGGACUUUAGUUCGUAAAUCGGACGGACGUUUUUUUACGAAUGCCGUGCAGAAACGAACCGGAUAAAUAAUAAAUACGUCGUGCAUGCAGGACUAUUUCAGUCGAUUUAGCAAAUCGUGAUUAAGUAAUAGCGACCGUCUUAUUUGUAUCCCGAAAGUAAGUGAUGAGCGACUUUCGACCUGUUGCCUAAGCCGAAACUUUGAGCAACAACAAAAGAGCCAGGUUAUUAGAGGGUCGCAUAGCUUAAGUGUGAUUUAUCAAUGACACGGAUUGAAUCAAAUGUGUAUGUAUUUUAAACGUGCAAGCGAAAUCCGAGCAAACGCGGAUGUGGUUGUGAGGACCAUCACUUUGUAGGCUAACGGUAUUUCGUACGCAGAGAAUCCUGUGUAGCUAUCUGCAUUAGAUUCGGACUGACACGUAUAGAAGUUAACGUCACUUCGCUGACUUUUCGUUUAUGGACAAAAAUGAUUAAAUAGUUUAUAAAUAAAAUCAUUAAAUUUAUUACAAGUUAUCUCUCUCUGAUUGUCUAAGGCGGGUCCACCGCAGAACAAGAAUAAAUGCAUCGGUGAGUACGAGCAUAGGUUGUCAGAAAAAAGAGUCAUUGAACUUUACAGUUUGCAAAGUUACAGGGUGCCAGAUUGACUUUUGGGACGAUGCGUUCUUUAGUUAAACGUUUAUGUACCGAUUGAGUAAGCUACAAAAAAGUUAUUAAGCACAAAACGCUUUAUAAGUUGAAGCCUUUCACCUUCGAAAUCUUCAUCACGGAUAAUCAAGUCUUUUGGUGUCCUGACGUCACAGUACUCUUCAGACAUUUUCGGAUAGUCGUGACCUAGCUUGAAGUAUAGAACGCGCGGAGUGGGCUGCCCUAAGCAUGGACCAUUGGUGCGGCACACCGCAGUUCAGUGCGUGAGAGUUCUAGUGUUUCAGGGUUACCAGUCAAUCAACCAUUCAGGCAGUGGUAAAGCUAUGGAGCAACCCAUCUUUGAGUUGGCGCAGUGCUGGAGUGUGUCGCGACCAAAUCCGUGUACCUAUUGAUUUGUGGCCCAGCCAUCGAACCAGACCAAUUUGUUAAAGCUUUGUGUGUCUGUUUUGUUUAUUAACAAACAUAGCGAGCAAUACAUUUAUGAAUAUACUGUGAACGCUGUUUUGCUAAUCCAACGAUGCCUGCCAGGUGCUGUGGAACUAGCAUCAUUGUGAUUUGCCGACUGAGCUAAAGUUAGCUAAUUAUAUCGUAUACUGAAUCGUACUGGAUGUCAGUUAUUAUGAGACGUUCCCACCUCGACCGGGUCACAACAAUCUGUAACGUAAAGGUCCGAUUCAGAUAAUGAACGUUUGACCAACGAAACAGAAUUAUAUCCAAUUGGAGAGUUUAGAAUACGGAGUUCGGGUACAACGAGUUCUAACAUUAGUUCAUUCAUGCAGUAUUGCUGAAAUCUAUUCCCAGAUGUGGCAGCCGCAGAUCAGCUUGCUUGGGCAUUAGGCUUAUUCUACUAGAUAGUUAGUUACUAGUUUUUAUCUAGAAGUUUGUUUUCGUUAAUUCUAUCGAUUGUUCUCACAAAUUGUCGCAUAUCGAGCUUCUCAUGUACUUUAAAUUUUUAAGACCGCUCACAAGCGGCGCAGUUACACAAGACACAUGAGCUCCGCACUGAACCCAUCUGCGAAUUGCUUAAGUACUCAACACUUGUUUACGAAACUAAACGAACGUCCAAUGAGAGGUUUCCGUACCGAGAGCAUGUCCGAAAAAAGGAAUCAAUGCAGUACGAGCGCCUACGGACGAUCAUCAUGGAAAUAUGGUCAGUAAUAACAGUGGGUCGAUAAACAACAAUACCAUUGGAUAUUUAGGAAGCGUACUCUUCAUAAACACGCACACACAAACUGCCAACCUCCGUUUUGACUAGAAAGCUGGUUCCAUUUGACUACAGGUGAUGCUUGGCGCGAAACAAACGCGAAACAAUAUUAUUGCGAUAUCAUCGAUUGAAUUAUACUCACGGGUGGUAGCAGUUUUUAGGCGUUUCGACACCGCCCUUGUAGGUAUUUAGCUCAGACUAUCGGCGGGAGAGCAAGCAACGAGAGUAUGUACACACUGACAUCUCAGUGACAAUGGACAAAGAACGAAAGAUAGCUUUCAAUUGGUGGCAUAGGAAUAAUGAAUAAGAUGGGUUGCUGAGGUUCGGCGGUAUUGGAAGAGACGGAGGAGACCGACCUUCACCUGAUCUCUGAUUACUUUGAUGUCGUUAGUAGCAAGCGCGGGAGCAGUAGUGAUGCACCGUCAUGCGAAGGCUGUGAGAGCGGUUCGUUUCGCUCUAUUUGUUUGUAGGCUGAGUACGGAUUACGGUUUGAACGUUGUGUAGGAUUGUAAAGUGCACAUUUCAUGGGAUGGCCGUUUGACCCAAAUAGACUGAUUAGACCAUGACCCACGUAGGUGGAAAUUCGAAAUGACCACUACUACUAUUACUACUACCAUGUCAAUUUCAACAAUAACCAACCUACUAGGAAUACAACUAUUGUAUUCUGGCCCUAUUGAGUGAGGUAGAGAGCAAGACGUUAGGAAGUGGUUGUCGCACCUUCUCGGACAAAUUCGGAAGCGCUUUACGAUUUCAGGCUUCGCUGAUCCCGUUGCUUGUUGCGGUAAGAGGGUACAAUAGAGAUGGGGUAAGGCUUUAGAGGAAUAGGCCAAAAAGCGUAGCUAGCCAUGGACAGGCAAAAGGACUUGGAAGCGGACAUAUAUAGCAUCCGUGUUCGGGAUAGCAGGAGUUCUGAAAAAAUUGUGACCGUUAUUGUUCAUUGUUUACUCGUUUCUCCUUCAUGACCGAUAAUACGUGGAUUACAGGGACAGGGAAAAAUCUGACAAGAUAACUAGUUCGAUUCGUCAACGUUGACUAUGAUUGCCACAACGACGAUGAAAAGUUAAUUCACGAUACUGAUCAUGUAUAAUAGGCGCAGAAAAAGUACACCGUCACAUGAAGAGUCUGGAAGGCACUCACGCAUGACAGGAAUAGUAGCAUAUGCAUGAGAAAGAAUGUCCACUUAGCUAAAGGAGAUAGAAACACCAACGAUAAGUUAACGUGCUUAAUUAAGGCGUUAAUUUUUUUCGAAGUGUGCGUGUAUAGCAAAGUUAGCGGCCAUCAUACGUUUAACGGCAAUUGACGACAGAGUUGUUAUUAAAAACGAGCUAUAUUUUCUAUCAGUGGCUUGUUUUGGGAGUAAUUUCCUCUAUAGGCUAUCAUUAUUUAUUAAUUCGAGUAAGAAAACAUUAGAAGAGUCGCCUUUUUUCUCAUACAAAACUCAACAAUGCUUGUUAAUUAAGGACACGCGUACGAACACAGGUUAUAACCGAAAUGUUCCCUUUGAAAAAUGAAAACAAAAAUCCGUCACAAAGACGUAGCGAAGCCCGUACAAACACAUGAUCGUAAAAAGCUAGUUAUCACAGUGUCACGCCGGCAACGAAAGACAGAAAUGUUAGAAUCGAAAUUUAGACAAGAACGGCUAAUUGAUGGUAACGAUGGCAAAGAUUAAAAGGACAUUACGACUGAGAACAGGACUAUGGCAUAUGCAUCAUAGAUCGAAGUCAUUGUAAUCAAGCUAGAAAUAAACGCUCCAGGUAGAGGGUGACGGAAGCUAAAGCUAAACCCGAAUCAGCGGAGAGAACUUAGCUGUGAAGAAGGUUGAAGUUAGAAUAAUAAGAGGGUAAAGCUGAACAUACAUCAAUGCAUGAAACAAACGGGACUUAUACACGAUAGGCAAACUUGGUAGUUAGAAUUGUGAGAUAGAGAAAAACACAAGUGUUGUAAUAGAUAUGUAUGUAUAUAUAUAUAUAUACAUAUAUACACGAAUGUCAUGUGGUGAUACAUCGAGUGACAGCAAAACAAGAGUUGGGAGAACGAAAAUGCUAAAGGUGAUAAUAAGAAUGAAGGUAAUUUUGGCAUAAAACAUGAACGAAUGACCGACGAAUGGAUUGUAAAUAAAUAAAUUGAAAAAAAAAUUAUAAGGACCUGGUGGUGUUUGUUCGAAGUGUCACUGGUACAAGAGGAAUAUUUUCCUCAUAUUUUCUCAUGUAAAUUAAAAAUAGAAUGAAGGACUAUGAGAACGUGAGCUCCUUUAAC